UGGAAUGAUGAUAAUGGAGAUGAAAGCAUGAUGUUGUUUGUGAAAAGAGAAAGAGGGACUAGAAAUAGG
This 69-nucleotide small RNA is filed under the name Arabidopsis thaliana (thale cress). RNAcentral's name for it is "ATSL015190". The record is from RNAcentral. Lineage: Eukaryota; Viridiplantae; Streptophyta; Magnoliopsida; Brassicales; Brassicaceae.